AAAAACAAUGGUCUUGACAUGUCUCCAUGAGAAGCUUACUGUCAUAGUGGGAUUUAGUUGUCGCCAUAGAGCCACUUCUCAGAGUUACUGGUGUAAGAAACAAGUUCUUGAGGCUUAAACCACAGACUGAUCUCAUCCUUUGCUGUCUCUGGUCCAUCACUUCCAUGGAUUAUGUUCCUGCAAUUUCACAUUUCAAUCACCAAAUCUUCCAAAAUGUUCUAAUGCGAAAUGAAAAAGAGAGAGAAAAACAAAACAUACCUGCCAACAGUAACUGCAAGAUCUCCUCGGAUUGUUCCAGGCUCAGAUUUCUGAGGAUCGGUGGCUCCAAUCAGUUUACGUCCGUAUCUGAUCACACCAUCUCCUUCCCAGACC
RNAcentral lists this long non-coding RNA (372 nucleotides) under Arabidopsis lyrata. RNAcentral describes it as "long non-coding RNA (ALYR_LNC001440)". Lineage: Eukaryota; Viridiplantae; Streptophyta; Magnoliopsida; Brassicales; Brassicaceae. The record is from RNAcentral.